This 72-nucleotide transfer RNA is filed under the name Uranoscopus sp. ZY-2022. RNAcentral's name for it is "tRNA-Val". It matches the Rfam family "tRNA". Rfam says of the family: Transfer RNA (tRNA) molecules are approximately 80 nucleotides in length. Their secondary structure includes four short double-helical elements and three loops (D, anti-codon, and T loops). Lineage: Eukaryota; Metazoa; Chordata; Actinopteri; Uranoscopiformes; Uranoscopidae. The record is from RNAcentral.
CGAGGCAUAGCUCAACUAGCAAAGCAUCUCCCUUACACUGAGAAGACACCCGUGCAAAACAGGUUGCCCCGA